Molecule: RNA transcript, 1777 nt
Organism: Hipposideros armiger (great roundleaf bat)
Lineage: Eukaryota; Metazoa; Chordata; Mammalia; Chiroptera; Hipposideridae
Gene name: TSC22 domain family protein 1-like
Exons: 1
Source: RefSeq, a predicted model, not a curated record
CGAGCCAAGAUCCCUGGUCUAGAUCCUAGUGGAGCUCGGCUACUUUCCGGGCAGCUCAGCAAAGCAGUGGGAUCCACAUCUUCCGGGGAUCUCCAAGCCUCAGAGGCCCGGUCUUUUUAAAUUAGGCUUGCUGUUUUCUAUUUCUCCCUGGGCUGCAGAAAGCUAGAAGAUUUUUAUCUAGCUCAAAUAAGGCUGCUGGUCUUCCCUCUUUUUUUUCUGCGAGGGUGUUUUUGGCUGCAAUUGCAUGUAAUCCCAAUGGUGUAGACCAGUGGAGAUGGAUCUAGGAGUUUACCAACUGAGACAUUUUUCAAUUUCUUUCUUGUCAUCCUUGCUGGGGACUGAAAACGCCUCUGUGAGACUUGACAAUAGCUCCUCUGGUGCAAGCUGGUAGCUGUUGACAACAAAAUCGAGCAAGCUAUGGAUCUGGUGAAAAGCCAUUUGAUGUAUGCGGUUAGAGAGGAAAUAGAGUGCUCAAAGAGCAAAUCAAAGAACUAAUAGAGAAAAACUCCCAGCUGGAGCAGGAAAACAAUCUGCUGAAGACACUGGCCAGCCCAGAGCAGCUCGCCCAGCUGCAGACUGGCUCCCCCCCCUGCCACCACACAGCCACAGGGAACCACACAGCCGCCGGCCCAGCCAGCGUCCCAGGGCUCGGGACCAACGGCAUAGCCUCCUAUGCACACGCAGAACUGGCUGCUGCUGUCUGAACUCAACAGACCUGAGAUGAUGUACUAGGGGGAAGCCGCCUCCACAGUCACCCAUUUCAUCGCUCGCUGCAAAAGAGACGUGAGACUGACAUACGCCAUUAUCUCUUUUUUUCCAGCAUUAAACACCCAUAUGCUUUUGGCUUGAAGAAAUUUCCUAGCUGGGUGCGUUAAAGGUUAAUCAGAGAAUUAGCAUGGAUGUACUGGGACCUCAUGCAGCUUGGCAGAUGUGUGAGAAGUGGUUUAAUUCAUACUGAGGAGAGAUGUGUGCCUUUUCAUCCCUCCCUGCUCCCCACCCUCACUUCCAAGAGUUCCCGCCUGCUUGCACGCAGUGUGCUCCAGGGGGUUAUGGAGCAGUGGAGCUCACUGGACUGUUGUCUUUCCUCUUGUCCCUGUGAGGAACUUGAAAGGGAGGUAGAAGGCAAGACUGGUGCAUAGUCAAGGGGAAACAUAGUUCCUUGUACAAAUCGACAACUGUCGCCAGAAUCCAUAAAAAAACGAGUACUGUGCGCCUCACCCUGAAACAGUGGAUGACACAAAACUAUUAGAGUGACUAAACGGUGACAGGUAGCUGGCACCUAGGCUAUCUUACCAUGAAGGAUGUUUUGCUUAUUAUAUAUUUGUGUAUGUAGUGUAACUAUUUUGUACAAUAGAGGACUGUAACUACUAUUUAGGUUGUACAGAUUAAAAUUUAGAGGUUUCACUGGCUGUCUGAAGAGGUGUGGAUUGUGUUUAUAUAGGGGAUCUACAUAAAAAAAUGCUACGUGAAGAAAACCACACCUACAGAAAUUUUAAGAAUUUGACACAGUCACUUUGUGUAAUCGGAAAUCUGCUAGCUGCUGAAUACCUUGAAGUAAAUCUCUGUUCACUGAAGUCUUUUGAUUGAGCUGGUUGAAGACUUUGAAAAAAUGAUCAGUUCUAGCUAACGAGAUGAGUUUCCCAGUAGGGGUUUCUGCAUAUCACCUGUAUAGUAGUUAUAUGCAUACGAUUCUGUGCAUGUUCUCUACACAGUUGUAAGGUGUCACUGUAUUUAACUGUUGCACUUAUCAACUUUCAAUUAAGCAUAUAAAAUGUUG